AAGCUGGUGUAGCCAAGGAUGACUUGCCAGCGCUGCGGAUCGGAACUGCUUGCUCUAGCUUCUCUUGAAAGCAAUUCUAGAGGAAGUUUGGCAAGUCGUCCUUGGCUACAUUUUGCGUCU
Molecule: microRNA precursor, 120 nt
Filed under: Ananas comosus (pineapple)
Lineage: Eukaryota; Viridiplantae; Streptophyta; Magnoliopsida; Poales; Bromeliaceae
Source: RNAcentral